GNNNGGGCGUCUGCUAGUACACGUGGACACCUACCCUAAGGAGGGGGAUAACCCCGGGAAACUGGGGAUAAUACCCCAUAGACUAGAGAAGCUGGAAUGCUCUCAAGUCCAAAGGUCCGCCGCCUUAGGAUGGGUCUGCGGUCGAUUAGGUUGUUGUUGGGGUAACGGCCCAACAAGCCCGUGAUCGAUACGGGUUGUGAGAGCAAGAGCCCGGAGAUGGAUUCUGAGACACGAAUCCAGGCCCUACGGGGCGCAGCAGGCGCGAAAACUUUACAAUGCGGGAAACCGUGAUAAGGGAACCCCGAGUGCCCGUAAAUUCGGGCUGUCCAUCAGCGUAAAUAACUGGUGAAGAAAGGGCCGGGCAAGACCGGUGCCAGCCGCCGCGGUAAUACCGGCGGCUCGAGUGGUGGCCACUAUUAUUGGGCUUAAAGCGUCCGUAGCUUGGUUGUUAAGUCUCUUGGGAAAUCUACCGGCUCAACCGGUAGGCGUUCAGGAGAUACUGGCAAUCUAGGGACCGGGAGAGGUGAGAGGUACUCCAGGGGUAGGAGUGAAAUCCUGUAAUCCUUGGGGGACCACCUGUGGCGAAGGCGUCUCACUAGAACGGCUCCGACAGUGAGGGACGAAAGCUGGGGGAGCAAACCGGAUUAGAUACCCGGGUAGUCCCAGCUGUAAACGAUGCGCGUUAGGUGUAUCGGUGACCACGAGUCACCGAGGUGCCGAAGGGAAACCGUGAAACGUGCCGCCUGGGAAGUACGGUCGCAAGGCUGAAACUUAAAGGAAUUGGCGGGGGAGCACCACAACGGGUGGAGCCUGCGGUUUAAUCGGACUCAACGCCGGGAAUCUCACCGGAUAAGACAGCUGAAUGAUAGUCGGGAUGAAGACUCUACUUGACUAGCUGAGAGGAGGUGCAUGGGCCGUCGUCAGUUCGUACUGUGAAGCAUCCUGUUUAGUCAGGCAACGAG
This 962-nucleotide ribosomal RNA is filed under the name uncultured Methanosarcinales archaeon. RNAcentral's name for it is "bacterial SSU rRNA". It matches the Rfam family "Archaeal small subunit ribosomal RNA", at positions 76 to 1045 of the family's 1478-position model. Lineage: Archaea; Methanobacteriati; Methanobacteriota; Methanomicrobia; Methanosarcinales. The record is from RNAcentral.